UAGUCCACGCCGUAAACGAUGGUCACUAGCUGUGUGGAUUUCGAUCUGCGUGGCUAAGCGAAAGUGAUAAGUGACCCACCUGGGGAGUACGUUCGCAAGAAUGAAACUCAAAGGAAUUGACGGGGGCCCGCACAAGCGGUGGAGCAUGUGGUUUAAUUCGGUGAUACGCGAGGAACCUUACCAGGGCUUAAAUGUAGAGUGACAGGUCUAGAGACAGACUUUUCUUCGGACACUUUACAAGGUGCUGCAUGGUUGUCGUCAGCUCGUGCCGUGAGGUGUUGGGUUAAGUCCCGCAACGAGCGCAACCCCUAUUGUUAGUUGCCAGCGAGUAAUGUCGGGGACUCUAACGAGACUGCCAGCCGUAAGCUGCGAGGAAGGUGGGGAUGACGUCAAAUCAUCAUGGCCUUUAUGCCUAGGGCGACACACGUGCUACAAUGGUAGAUACAGAGGGUAGCCAACCAGCGAUGGGGAGCCAAUCUCAGAAAGUCUAUCUCAGUUCGG
Molecule: ribosomal RNA, 501 nt
Filed under: uncultured bacterium
Lineage: Bacteria
Description: bacterial SSU rRNA
Rfam family: Bacterial small subunit ribosomal RNA
Source: RNAcentral